RNAcentral lists this ribosomal RNA (429 nucleotides) under Bacteroidota bacterium. Its description in RNAcentral is "Bacteroidetes bacterium partial 16S ribosomal RNA". It matches the Rfam family "Bacterial small subunit ribosomal RNA", at positions 355 to 776 of the family's 1533-position model. Lineage: Bacteria; Pseudomonadati; Bacteroidota. The record is from RNAcentral.
UAGGGAAUCUUCGGCAAUGGGGGGAACCCUGACCGAGCAACGCCGCGUGAGUGAAGAGGGUUUUCGGAUCGUAAAGCUCUGUUGUUAAGGAAGAACGAGUGUGAGAAUGGAAAGUUCAUACUGUGACGGUACUUAACCAGAAAGGGACGGCUAACUACGUGCCAGCAGCCGCGGUAAUACGUAGGUCCCGAGCGUUGUCCGGAUUUAUUGGGCGUAAAGCGAGCGCAGGCGGUUAGAUAAGUCUGAAGUUAAAGGCAGUGGCUCAACCAUUGUAGGCUUUGGAAACUGUUUAACUUGAGUGCAGAAGGGGAGAGUGGAAUUCCAUGUGUAGCGGUGAAAUGCGUAGAUAUAUGGAGGAACACCGGUGGCGAAAGCGGCUCUCUGGUCUGUAACUGACGCUGAGGCUCGAAAGCGUGGGGAGCGAACAGG